RNAcentral lists this long non-coding RNA (551 nucleotides) under Androctonus crassicauda. The record is from RNAcentral. Lineage: Eukaryota; Metazoa; Arthropoda; Arachnida; Scorpiones; Buthidae.
CAGCUGAUUAAGAGAACCAAUGAGUGGAUGUGUGAUAACAGAAUAACAGUAACUAGAGAUGAUAAGUUAAAAAAGCUAGUACUGUUAAAAAAGAAUUUUUACGAUGAGUCUCUUGUUAAUUACUUUAAUGAAUCUAAAGCAGAAUUACUACCAGGCAACCCAACUGGAGCACUGGAUAAAGAAUCCUCUAAACUACUGAACAACAAGGAUUUACCUCCCUUUUUUAAAGUUAAAAAAACCCCCAACCCAGUUUGUCUAAGGCUGUUUGCCUUUGCUAAAACACACAAGACUCCACUCACCUUUAGGCCCAUAGUAGAAAAAUGAAGGUCGCCGAUAUAUGGCUUGGAGAGGCUGUAGCAAUCUGGAUAAAUGCUUACCUGAAAGAACAUCCCUAUACUUUACCAUCACUGGAAGAGUUUUUGAAUAAAACAACAUCUGUCUGCUUUGAGAAGUUACAUACAACUUUGAGAAGUUGUAUCCCUCCCUGAAUACUGCUCCAGUUUGUAUUAACUUAUAUAGGUUUUUCUUAAAAAAAAAAAAAAAAUACCACA